CCUACGGGAUGCACCAGUGGGGAAUAUUGCACAAUGGGCGCAAGCCUGAUGUAGCCAUGCCGCGUGUAUGAAGAAGGCCCUAGGGUUGUAAAGUACUUUCAGUCGGGAGGAAGGCGUUGAUGCUAAUAUCAUCAGCGAUUGACGUUACUGACAGAAGAAGCACCGGCUACUCCGUGCCAGCAGCCGCGGUAAUGCGGAGGGUGCAAGCGUUAAUCGGAAUUACUGGGCGUAAAGCGCACGCAGGCGGUUGAUUAAGUUAGAUGUGAAAUCCCCGGGCUUAACCUGGGAAUGGCAUCCAAGACUGGUCAGCUAGAGUCUUGUAGAGGGGGGUAGAGUUCCAUGUGUAGCGGUGAAAUGCGUAGAGAUGUGGAGGAAUACCGGUGGCGAAGGCGGCCCCCUGGACAAAGACUGACGCUCAGGUGCGAAAGCGUGGGGAGCAAACAGGAUUAGAUACCCCCGUAGUC
RNAcentral lists this ribosomal RNA (464 nucleotides) under uncultured bacterium. RNAcentral's name for it is "bacterial SSU rRNA". It matches the Rfam family "Bacterial small subunit ribosomal RNA", at positions 338 to 795 of the family's 1533-position model. The record is from RNAcentral.